GGUCAGAUGAUGCUACAACAACAUAUUCCUGAGAUUCUCUUUGAGGAAUAAUACAAAAUCGAGCUUUUUAAGACUGAUGGCUA
RNAcentral lists this small nucleolar RNA (83 nucleotides) under Triticum aestivum (bread wheat). RNAcentral also lists the same sequence under 1 other name. Lineage: Eukaryota; Viridiplantae; Streptophyta; Magnoliopsida; Poales; Poaceae. The record is from RNAcentral.